RNA transcript from Neocloeon triangulifer, 7118 nucleotides. It is a transcript of the gene named neuropeptide SIFamide receptor-like, with no coding region annotated. NCBI's taxonomy places the organism in Eukaryota, Metazoa, Arthropoda, Insecta, Ephemeroptera, Baetidae. The transcript is spliced from 3 exons. The record is from RefSeq and is a predicted model, not a curated record.
ACCCCCUGCCGGCCGUCUGUUUAUUCGCAAUCCGUUACAACCGUUUGUUGAUCCGGUUGUUGCCAUAGCAACUUCGCCACUCUCAAAGGCGAAUUCUUCAACCCUGUUUUCAUGCCCUUAUUUAGGGAUGGAACGACAGCCAAAUGAUGCACUCGGCGGCGGCAGGGCUAAUUGGAGGAACUCUUUAGUACUUCAAGAAGGCGCCCAUACCCAAAUUGCAGCCCUCGAUGUGAGCAGGACCAUGGACAGGCAAGAUUACAACCACGUUGUCCACCAAGCAGGCUCCCACGCGCAAUUAGUGGCAGUCAACUUGCACGGGGCAAUGGAUUCCAGCCACCUCAUCCACCAGUUGCAGCUAGGAAGAUUUUCGUGUGCAGUUGGAAAGGUUGUAGGGCCGAGUUCACUCUAUGUACCCAUUACGUCGGCACACCCGAAAGCACACGCGCGAAAAGCUGCACCAAAUGUGCAAAGUUGUUCUUCCAAAAGGACAACAACCUGGCUAACCAUGAAAAAGCAAAACACCCCGUACCAAACAAGAAAAAGAUGAAGAUAAACUGAAGGGUCAAGAUUAUUAUUAUCGGAAUAAGGCAUUUAUUCGAAAGGUUAUAGUUUACAAAUAAAGCUCUUAUACAUCAAGAUCAAGAGUAAAUGCUUUUUGUAAUUUAAACUGGCCGCACGGUGUCCAGCUGUCCAUGCAACAUGCGCAACGGUUUUUUCCCUUGUCCAUUUUGAAGGUCGGCAAUGGGCUUGAUGCUAGACUAAAAAUUUUCUAGAAAUGUUUUGAGCUGCGUCGAAGCUCAAUCUCGGUUGAUGUUGGCCACCUACUUCAUCCUCUUCUUGUGGCGAGAGUUGAAAGCUGUGUACUGUGUACAUAAAUGAUUUUUAAUAUCAAAAUUUAGUUUUAUGAUGUUUUUAUUGUAAAUAUAUUUAAAAUUUAGGUAGGCUCUAGUUCUGAAAAUUAGUGAUUUUAUAUAAAUUUUAUAUUAUUUUAAAAUAUAAUUCAUAUGUAGUUAAAGUUGCAAUUUUAAAGGUAAAGAAAACAACGAGAAGGUUGUUCUUCUUAAGUUUCUUUAUUAAAUAGAUUAUUUAAAACCUUGAAUUUGAACUUAAAAACAGCAAAAAGAACUAAGGUUACCUAUUUUUAUCACUUCGUAUAGUCGAACUUAAAAUGCUAAAUUUUUUGUUAAAAUCUUUAUACAGUUUUGUUAUCGGAGCGGUUUCUCCCGCGAUUUAGCUUCCGUCGCUGCUCAAGUUACAAAAGGGUACGAAGGCGCUGCCUGCUUUAGUGGCCAGUUGUGGUUGGAAAUGUGGCAAGGAUUAAUCAGACCUGUAGAUUGUAUUUUAUUCUUUGUUUUUUAUUCACGGCUCAAAAUUAUGAAAUAAACUCUUGCAUGAUAAAAUUGGUCUGCAUUGGACAAAUUUUGUGAAUUUUAACGCAACCAAAGUAAAACGCACGAGAGAGUGUCUAUUGCCGCUCAAAAUACAUCUUUCUCAUUCAAGUGCGAAAGUGUCGCGCCUAAAAAGACUGACACGCCUUGGGUCAGGACUCUGGGUUUGUCUGGUUUCCAAGGCUACGUGUCCGAAUGAAGAGGCUGCCGGACCGUUGAGACGGGACACCCCUGAGGGCAUCGACCGCCACCACUGCAGCCGCCGCCGCUGCUCGAGGCCCCCAGUACGCCUGCUGGCCGCCCGGCCCCGACCUGCAACUGCCUCCGGCUGGCCGCCGCUGUCGCCACCGUUGUUUGCUUAAGGUUAAGGUGUAGGAGUUAAAGUACACUCUCGCAAGGGCCCCGCCAGUGCCAGUGCCAGUGUGCCAACGAACCCCACAUAAAGACAAUACGAGGCCUCCGUCGUGCGCUCAAACAAUUUGCGUGUAAUUAGAAGUGAAUAACGCGAAAGUACACACUGAAUUUCAAUUUGAGUACAUAAUUUGUUUCAAUAAUUAGUCCGGCUGCUCGGACUUGUGAAAAUCUCUCCUCUUCCAACUAGAGUAGAAUCAGUCAACAAAAUUCCCCUUUAACAUGUUUCUCAUAUCCUCGACUGACAAAUGAACUAUAAUGCCCUAUCAUAAUAUAGACCAAAAUAAAUAACUUUGCCUGUAAAUAUUAUACAAUAUGCAACCAGGGCAUUGCGGGUGCUGCAUAUAUUCAACUCGAGCGUACGUCAAGUUUUUAAGUUGGUAGAAAGUAGAAAUCAACUUAGCGUGUUUCGUGUUUUUAUUAGAAAUAUCAUGCCAAUUCAAAUAUGAAUUUUCCUUCUUAUAGCUGUAUGAUGUGUGCUAGUAUGUGCUACUUCAUGGCUAAAAAAAAUCAAUGAAGUAACAGAGAAAUUCAGAAAUUGGUAUAGGUGAAGAUUAAUUUACAAAAAGACUUAUUUAUUUAUGAAAGAGGGACUUAAUUUUUAUACUAUAUAAAACUUGCAUCAUUUCAAUAAAAAAUCCACCACUUGAUUAAUUUUGAUCAGAAAUUUAAGUGUUAUGUGAGUAAAAAUUCAUAUAUAUUUUCUUUUUUCGUCACCAUCUGUGGAGGUGCACCGAAUGUGUGGCUUCUCCUUUUGUUUGCGACUCGUGUGGCUCAUGGGGCACUAUGUAAUCUUCUUGUCUGAAAAAUAAUAAUAAUUAAUUAACUUAAAAAAUGUAUAAUUAAAAUAAUCAUGCUCCAUAUUAUAUUUAAAUUGUUAAAUACUGUUUGGAAAGAAUAUAUAUAGUUUUUAAUUAACAAGCUGAAGCGUUGGUUAGUAUUAUAGUUAGUAAAUUACUUGGCAAGGGGCAAGCGGUGGUAAAACUUUGUCAUGCUCGCCCACUGACCAUCACAGAGGUCGUCAAAAGUCAUGUCCUCAAUGGUCCUUCCACCAAGGUCUCCAGGACCGCGGCAGGUAGGGCUUGUGUCCCAAACCUUGCGAUUGUUUCUGCGCAACCAACUGCAAAUAUUUAAUUUAAAUAAAUAAACAGUAAAAAAUAAAAUAACAAACAAGUAUGAGUCGGAAUAACUUUUAAGAGUAAUCAAAACUUAUUUUGUCUGACGAUUUUCACGUUGUUCUUGGGGGUUUUUUUAAUGACUAUUUGUUAACUUAAUUAGCAAAAAAAGUUUUCAUUGCGGAAACUAUCAGAGCUAAUGUAUUUUUAUAAAAUUUUCAGUUUGUUUUUUAAAAUGUUAUCAAACCCUGUUUUCUCAAAAUGAAAAUUACGUGGCCAAAUAGAGAAUGUUGCAAUCGCAGUGCCACGGAUUCUUCGCCAACUUGACCGAGACCAAUUUGACCAGAGGCUCAAAACAGUUCGCCGAUAGGAAAUGGAGCUUGUUGCUAUCCAGCUGUCUAAAUAUGGAACACGUUUGAUCAGCGUAAAUUAGCAAAUGUGUGCUUGAUGAGAUGCGUACAGUUUUCGCAAAUUCGGCACGUGUUCGAAGGCGUUCGCUCGCACGUCCUUAAGCAGAUUAUUGUUGAGCAUGAGCGAACUCAAAUUUCGCAGGCCCAUUAGCGCGGCGCCGUCAAUUCUCUCCAGGUUGUUGGAAAAGAGGAAAAGUUUCUCGAGCGACGCCAAUUUGGCAAAGGCGGCGUCAGGUAUCGCGUCUAGCUGGUUUUGACCUAAGUGUAACUCGACCAAUUUUUCCUGCGACAUGAAAUCUCCCGCGUCCAACUACAAAACAAGAGCUUUUUAAUAUUUUAGCUAUAACUGUGAUCUCUACAUGACUGAUCAAAAAUUAUUUUGAAUUUGUUAUUUAAAUAUCACUUCAAACUUUAUUCAACAAAUUGAUUGGGAUUGCCGUGAAUUAUGUGGCCAUCUUAAAAACGUUUUUUAGUGCAAAAGUUAGCAGCGUUAUUGGUGAUGUUGUUUCUCUUUUAUUAUAAACUAUGACCUUUUGUACGAGAGCCACUCUGGUUUUAUGCUUGCUCACCGUGGUCAGCCAGUUGGAGGCCAAAUCAAGAUUCUGCAGGUUGACGAGGGGUGCCAAAAGGCCCGCGGGCAACACGGUCAAGUGGUUUCUGUGCAGCUCCAACUGCUGGAGUGAGGACAAACCGGCAAAAAUUAGAGGGGGGAGCGCCUUAAGGUGGUUCUUUUGCAAACGCAGCGUCUUCAAACUGGAAAAAAGUGCAUUUUAUAGUUUAAUAAAAAAAACACAUUUUUUCCCACAAUUUUUUUCCUCUUAAAGACUUUGUAAUUCAUGAAGAUUCUAAUUAUAUUUAUCUGGCUCAUUUUUCUGCCCAAAAAUUGCAAUAUACCUAAAAAGUCCAUCAAAAGUUUUUGGCUGCAGUUCUGCAAGGAGGUUUCUUGAAAGAUCCAAAUCCUCGAGCAAUUUCAAGCCUCUGAACACACUUUCGGGCAGGUUGACCAGUUUGUUGCCCGAUACAUGCAACACCACAAGCCUCGUCAGACCCUCGAAUUGGUUUUCCGUCAGUUGGUUGAGCAAAUUGGACGAUAGAUCCCUUGAAUGAUAAUUUUAUUAUGUGCGAAUAUAUUUCGAUUUUAAUUAUGCGACUCACAAUGUGGACAAAUUGAUUAGGCGGAGCAAGAGUCUGUCCGGCAAUUCUUCCAAUCUAUUCUGGUGCAGUCGUCUGGAAAAAUUGGCACUCACGUCAAGUUAUGUACAGGCAUUGGACGAAAAUUCGCUUUUUUCACUCACAAAUGUCUCAAGCUUUCCAAGUCGGCGAACAAAACACUUGGCAAGUGAUCGAUCUGAUUGUCAAACAGGUCUCUUUAAAUGAUAAAUUAAUUUUAUAAUUUAAUUGUGCAAAAUCUAUUGAAAUCUCACAGUUCAGUUAGAUGUGUCAGCCCUUGGAAAGCAGUUUUGUGAAUUCCAGCCAGUCGAUUUAAUCCCAGGUCUCUAAAAUUCACUUACAAUUUUUCAUGAUUUUGUUUUAAAAAUUUAUAAGUACAUGACUUUGGUAUCUCGGGGAACACUUUGGGCAGUGGGCAACUCUGAAAGCGACUGUUGCCAACAACUGAGGCUUCUGGUUUCAGGGCGACACCGGCAGGGCCCUUCUGUGCAUUGGUUCCACCUUAGGGCACCGUGAGCCACAGGCCAAACUGACAAAAUUUAUAAUAAAUUCCUUUUUUUUUUUUUUUUUCUUAAUUCAUGAAUUUUCUUACCAGGUUGUUCUAAGGAUUUAAUUCUCUUCUCCAGAGAUCUCACGAGUUUGUGGAGACUUUCAACUUUGUUUUCCAGUUCUAAUACUUGGUUUUCUUUUUCCUCUUCAUCAACAUCAUCCUUAUUAAUUUAAAUUUACUUAUUACUUUUAAUCCUGUUUACUUUUAAUUAAUUUUUUAAUCACGCAAAAUUGCAAGUUCAUUAGAUUUUUUUUUAAUAUUAACAGUUUUAAAACAUCAAAAUUUAUUUUUUAAAUAACCUUGUGAUUUUGCCGAAACGGAUGCACUUGGCGCAGUAAAAGGAGCAAAAGCAGCAGUGAACGCCUCAUCUCUGGACCCCUUGCUUGCACUGACUGAUGACCAGCAUCCUGCAGGCCAGCAGCGCCGGGUAGAUUAAAAAGUAGCGACCUCGCUGUCAAUUAAUUAGAUCUUUGCUCGCGCAUCAAUUGAGUUGUAUUUUUGGAAGCUUCCAGCUGUUGAUCAAUUUCACAGGCCAGGGUCAAUUAAUUGUUAGUCCGUGUUAGUCUUUUUGCGUCGAAUUCUCUUCAUAUUUUUAACAAUCUCAUAUAAUAUGUACAUAAUUUUUUUAAUUAAAAUUUUUUUAAUUUAAGGAAUAUAUCGGAAUAUAUCUAGGUCUCUCAGCGAAAAUUAAAUAGGAAGAAAAGAGAAUGGCAAAUUUUUAUUAUUCCAUUUAAAUAUGCACACUUUUAAUUAAAUUUUGAAUUCAAAAUGACAAAGAUUCCAUAAUCAAGUCAAAGCCCAGUUGCUUCCCUUUAAUAUCUAGAGAGGAGGUGCGUUGUUAUGAUUCAUAAGCGUGACCCACUUAUUGCCUGUCGCCUACUCAGGCAAUUGUGGCACGGAACAGAUUUAUCAAUAAUUUGUAUUGUUUCGACACUCGCAGCAAAUCACAUGUAUGGAUAUAUCGAUGCCCACAGCAUAAGCAGCAAAAUACCGCCAGCUGCUCUUAUGCAUGUGAGCUCUGCGCAAAAUUUAUAAAUCAAUUUUCCAGGGUCUCUCACUCAACUUUGUCCUCAUACGGUUAUAUGGGAGUUAUUGCAAUGAUAAAAAAUAUAUGUAGACGAGGGAAACUUUGGACAAGGACAAUUGAAUAUAAUUUAUAUUUUAUUCUCCUUUCCAUUGCAUUUCAUAAAUUUAUUACACCAAAGUUUUAUAAUUAAAGAAUUAAUCGGCGCGAAGAUUUUUUCGUUCGGAAAGUUACACAAUGUUGUAUUAUAUAAAAUAUUAAAAAUAAUCUGCAUUUUUUAUAUGAAAAUUUUGUGAAAAAGUUAAAAAGUUUAUGCAGCUUUUGGGAAAGUACAUUGACUGAUUUUCCCAUCCAAUUAAAGUGUAUAAUUUUCAUCACACUAACUUGACGUUGAAAAUCUGAUUUAUAAAGAAGUUUGGCCUCACUAAAUGUUUCCAAAAUAAGUCACUUGUAAACUUAUUUUUUGCUUAAAUAAGUUGACGUUCUUGAGUGAAAAACGGGCUUUAUCCUUGUUGAAAAUUUCUUGCAUUAAAAAACCAAAACGGCUACAAAUAUAUUCAACAAGGAAAAUGUAGCUUUUCAGGGUGUGACAAUGAGUAAUGAUAAAGAAAAACCAUUUUUUUCAUAUAAAUCGUUUAUGUAGGUCAUACAUAUAUUUGCUAGAUUUUUCUUGUCCUCACAGGAACGAGAGGAAAAUGAUGACGAGUCCUCCACUCUCAUAUUUACAAACUCACGCAGCACAGACUAAGUAUUUGCAGCUUUCAAUGCUCCUCUCAUGAGCUCUUUCAGAGACAGAUAUGGGAGCAGUGUGUUUUAUCCCAGCAAGGACGGAAGACAGAGGAAACUUCUUCUUUGUCGCAAUUGAAAGAGAGGACGACGAGUUUCUGUAGCGCGCACUUUAUUACAAGGCACAGAUUUUCCUUUGCUGCACAUGAGAAGAUGACGAUUAUUGUUUUUCAUUCGCAAUCGCACACACAUAUAUCACUAUUUUCUAUAUAGUCAACUCAUUUCGUAAUACAUUUUUACUAGCAAAUUAAAAAAAAAAAAUAU